AGAGGGUUCGGCCCUCGGCUGCACUGCUCAGUAACACGUGGGAUAAUCUGCCCUAAGGUGGAGGAUAACCUCGGGAAACUGAGAAUAAUACUCCAUAGGUCUAAGAUACUGGAAUGUUCUUAAGCUAAAAACUCCGGUGCCUUAGGAUGAGUCUGCGGACUAUCAGGUUGUAGUCAGGGUAAAGACCUGACUAGCCUAUGACGGAUAUGGGUUGUGGGAGCAAUAACCCAGAGAUGAUAUCUGAGACACGAUAUCAGGCCCUACGGGGCGCAGCAGGCGCGAAAACUUCACAAUGUGCGAAAGCGCGAUGAGGGAAUCCCAAGUGCUUGCACGUAAGUGUAAGCUGUUUCUUUGUUUAAAAAGCAUAGAGAGUAAGGGCUGGGUAAGACGGGUGCCAGCCGCCGCGGUAAUACCUGCAGCUCAAGUGGUGAUCGUUAUUAUUGGGCCUAAAACGUUCGUAGCCGGUUUAGUAAAUGCCUGGGUAAAUCGUGUAGCUUAACUAUACGAAUUCCGGGUAGACUGCUAAACUUGAGACCGGGAGAGGCUAGAGGUACUCCUGGGGUAGAGGUGAAAUUCUGUAAUCCUAGGGGGACCACCAGUGGCGAGGGCGUCUAGCUAGAACGGGUCUGACGGUGAGGGACGAGCCCUAGGGCGCA
RNAcentral lists this ribosomal RNA (656 nucleotides) under uncultured archaeon. Its description in RNAcentral is "bacterial SSU rRNA". It matches the Rfam family "Archaeal small subunit ribosomal RNA", at positions 61 to 721 of the family's 1478-position model. The record is from RNAcentral.